This 497-nucleotide ribosomal RNA is filed under the name uncultured bacterium. RNAcentral describes it as "partial 16S ribosomal RNA". It matches the Rfam family "Bacterial small subunit ribosomal RNA", at positions 28 to 507 of the family's 1533-position model. The record is from RNAcentral.
GAUGAACGCUGGCGGCGUGCCUAAUACAUGCCAGUCGAGCGAACAGACGAGGAGCUUGCUCCUCUGACGUUAGCGGCGGACGGGUGAGUAACACGUGGAUAACCUACCUAUAAGACUGGGAUAACUUCGGGAAACCGGAGCUAAUACCGGAUAAUAUAUUGAACCGCAUGGUUCAAUAGUGAAAGACGGUUUUGCUGUCACUUAUAGAUGGAUCCGCGCCGCAUUAGCUAGUUGGUAAGGUAACGGCUUACCAAGGCAACGAUGCGUAGCCGACCUGAGAGGGUGAUCCGCCACACUGGAACCGAGACACGGUCCAGACUCCUACGGGAGGCAGCCGUAGGGAAUCUUCCGCAAUGGGCGAAAGCCUGACGGAGCAACGCCGCGUGAGUGAUGAAGGUCUUCGGAUCGUAAAACUCUGUUAUUAGGGAAGAACAAAUGUGUAAGUAACUAUGCACGUCUUGACGGUACCUAAUCAGAAAGCCACGGCUAACUACGUG